Molecule: long non-coding RNA, 270 nt
Organism: Rosa rugosa (rugosa rose)
Lineage: Eukaryota; Viridiplantae; Streptophyta; Magnoliopsida; Rosales; Rosaceae
Exons: 3
Source: RefSeq, a predicted model, not a curated record
GAUAUGCUAGUAGAACUAGCAAGAAGAGAAAAGAUUGCGGGGAUAAAAUCCGAUGGUGAUCUUGAUAUAUUCAUGAAGUCAUUAGCUCUUGGAGAGAAAGAGACAAGCCUUGUGGUAGAGUACAUCAUGAAGGGUUGGACAUAUGCGCUGAUACGUUGGUAGGAGAUGAAAUGCUUAAAGGUAUAUCAGGGGGCCAAAAGAAGCGGCUUACUACAGGUGCAUACUUGGUGUUUCUAGAAAGGUAUAGACUAGGUAUAAGCUCUGCGUGUU